This 256-nucleotide ribosomal RNA is filed under the name uncultured prokaryote. RNAcentral's name for it is "partial 16S ribosomal RNA". It matches the Rfam family "Bacterial small subunit ribosomal RNA", at positions 524 to 780 of the family's 1533-position model. The record is from RNAcentral.
UACGUAGGUGGCAAGCGUUGUCCGGAAUUACUGGGCGUAAAGGGCGCGCAGGCUGUAGAUCAAGUCAGCUGUGAAAUGUCUGGGCUUAACCCGGGCAUGCGGUUGAAACUGAUGUACUGGAGUGCUGUAGAGGCAAGUGGAAUUCCCAGUGUAGCGGUGAAAUGCGUAGAUAUUGGGAAGAACACCGGUGGCGAAGGCGACUUGCUGGGCAGCAACUGACGCUGAGGCGCGAAAGCCAGGGGAGCAAACGGGAUUA